ACAGGGAUUGCCCUAGUAACGGCGAGUGAAGCGGCAACAGCUCAAAUUUGAAAUCUGGCGUCUUCGGCGUCCGAGUUGUAAUUUGCAGAGGGCGCUUUGGCAUUGGCAGCGGUCCAAGUUCCUUGGAACAGGACGUCACAGAGGGUGAGAAUCCCGUACGUGGUCGCUAGCCUUUACCGUGUAAAGCCCCUUCGACGAGUCGAGUUGUUUGGGAAUGCAGCUCUAAAUGGGAGGUAAAUUUCUUCUAAAGCUAAAUACUGGCCAGAGACCGAUAGCGCACAAGUAGAGUGAUCGAAAGAUGAAAAGCACUUUGGAAAGAGAGUUAAAAAGCACGUGAAAUUGUUGAAAGGGAAGCGCUUGCAGCCAGACUUGCCUGUAGUUGCUCAUCCGGGUUUCUACCCGGUGCACUCUUCUACGGGCAGGCCAGCAUCAGUUUGGGCGGUUGGAUAAAGGUCUCUGUCAUGUACCUCCUUUCGGGGAGAACUUAUAGGGGAGACGACAUGCAACCAGCCCGGACUGAGGUCCGCGCAUCUGCUAGGAUGCUGGCGUAAUGGCUGUAAGCGGCCCGUCUUGAAACACGGACCAAGGAGUCUAACAUCUAUGCGAGUGUUUGGGUGUCAAGCCCGAACGCGUAAUGAAAGUGAACGGAGGUGGGAACCUUUCGGGGUGCACCAUCGACCGAUCCUGAUGUCUUCGGAUGGAUUUGAGUAAGAGCAUAGCUGUUGGGACCCGAAAGAUGGUGAACUAUGCUUGAAUAGGGUGAAGCCAGAGGAAACUCUGGUGGAGGCUCGCAGCGGUUCUGACGUGCAAAUCGAUCGUCAAAUUUGGGCAUAGGGGCGAAAGACUAAUCGAACUAUCUAGUAGCUGGUUCCUGCCGAAGUUUCCCUCAGGAUAGCAGUAACGUUUUCAGUUUUAUGAGGUAAAGCGAAUGAUUAGAGGACUGGGGGAUGAAACAUCCUU
This 960-nucleotide ribosomal RNA is filed under the name Epicoccum sp. Its description in RNAcentral is "partial large subunit ribosomal RNA". It matches the Rfam family "Eukaryotic large subunit ribosomal RNA", at positions 68 to 1048 of the family's 3401-position model. Lineage: Eukaryota; Fungi; Ascomycota; Dothideomycetes; Pleosporales; Didymellaceae. The record is from RNAcentral.